Non-coding RNA from Podarcis lilfordi (Lilford's wall lizard), 71 nucleotides. NCBI's taxonomy places the organism in Eukaryota, Metazoa, Chordata, Lepidosauria, Squamata, Lacertidae. The record is from the annotation of a GenBank genome assembly.
GCUGGGAUAGCUCAAUUGGUAGGGCAUGAGAUUCAGUUUCAACGUUGUGGGUUUGAGCCCCACGUUGGACA